CUCUCCUUUGUUCAGAGACAGCCCGGCAGAUCUAUUCCCUAAUAAAGGCUUGUUGUGGCCUGGUCUGGUCUUGGUCUUCGGCCCUUUUACCUGACAUUUCUGGUGCCGUGACUCGGAUGGUAGAUGGUCCAUUAAGGGACGAUCCCCCCGCAGGACGGGGUUGAUUGACCUUUUGGCCAUCUCCAACGGACCUAUCUGCCGUUGCCAGGACCCUCCGGGGCUUUCUACCUUUGCCAUUGCUGACGCUACACAUCCACACCGGUCACCAAUGUCUGGAAACGAUUGAGGACAUUCACCAGCCAGACAGUCACAGAGUUCAUCAUGGCAGGGAACCAGCCAGUACGGCAAAAGGAAGAGGUCCCCACUUGCCACCGGCCUCAUCAGAUCCAGGUCUAGCCCCGAUCUUCGCCCCUUGUCAGCAGGAAGCAGCUCCAGAAGAAGAGACCUUCGCCCAACUAUCAUAAAACAAAAGCCUGGAAUGAUAGGUCUCCCACCACCUCAGCAGCUAUUAAGUAUAGUAGCUGCCCUCUUCCUAUGGUGCCUUGCCCCCUCCCCUGUGUGACAUCAUGCCAAGAUGGUUGCUCCCACCAAAGAACAAACCCUUCUUCCCAGCAUGCCCCUGUUCCAACCUAGACAGUAACCUAAUACUUGCUCACCUCCUACCACCUAGUGACAUCACCGGCUCCUCCAUUCCCUAGUCACUACCUCACUCAACCCCACCUUAGCCCCUACAAGCCCCACCCCAGUCUCUAUAAAAGACUCUCCCUGCCCCAGCCAUAUUGCUUUUGUCUCUCCUUUGUUCAGAGACAGCCCGGCAGAUCUAUUCCCCUAAUAAAGGCUUGUUGUGGCCUGGUCUGGUCUUGGUCUUCGGCCCUUUUACCUGACAUUUCUGGUGCCGUGACUCGGAUGGUAGAUGGUCCAUUAAGGGACGAUCCCCCGCAGGACGGGGUUGAUUGACCUUUUGGCCAUCUCCAACGGACCUAUCUGCCGUUGCCAGGACCCUCCGGGGCUUUCUACCUUUGCCAUUGCUGACGCUACACAUCCACACCGGUCACCAAUGUCUGGGUGAGUAGGGAGUUCAGCCUCCCUCUCGUCGGGUUCUCUGUCUCGUUCUCUCUCCCUCCGGGGACUUCUCAGAAAUCCAAGCGCUUGGUCAGAGAAACCCCCACGGCCUCUGGGCCCAGGACCGUGCCCCUGGGAGACGUCCCAUCGGCCCGCCUCCUCUCGUUCUCUCCCUCUGGGAGACUCACUCGGAGAUUGUCAAAGGAGACAAGGACGCUUCUCCCCUUUGUCUUUCUCCCCAGGGGCUGCCUCCCCCUCACCCGCUCUAAUCAGGGGGCCCAACAAUCCAAACCCCGCCCCUCAACGCCUCUGGGCUGCCUUCUGGCACAACUCAAACCCCUCGGAUUGUUGGGACCAGACUUUAGGCCAAAAAGAUUUGUUUUCUAUUGUAAUCAGGUUUGGCCUCAGUAUAAAUUAGAUAAUGGGUUUCCACGCCCCAAAAAUGGCACUUUCAAUUUUAACAUACUGUGUGAUUUACACAACUUCUGUCAGUGCAAUGGCAAAUGGUCAGAAAUCCCCUACAUACAAGCCUUUUCUACCUAUGCUCUUAACCCUCCCUCUGUCAAACCUGUUCUUCUCAAGUACUCCUAGCCUGAGCUGAUCACUCACCGCUCAUACCUCCCCCACUUUAUAACUCUGUUGAUAAGAAAAAGUUUUAAAGCUUAAUAGAUUAGCUAUUAAAGUAGUUGUGGAAGCAAACUAAGUAGUGUAUCCCUUUAAAAACUUGCAUUAGCCCAUUGCUUCUGCUGUUCAAAGUAAAGGUUAUAUAGCUUCUUUGAUUUGUAGCUCCACUAUAGAUAACAUCCUAACUAAAGAAUGAAGUAAAAAUCCUUGAACAAACUUGUGAUAUAUGUGCCUUAAUUGUCAUGUGUUUAGGGCUGUAAUCAGUGACAGAAACCACCUGUGUCUAACCAUUAAACAGGAAUUAGAACUUUAUUUACUUAACAAAGACCACUAGGGAUGAGAUAAUGAUGGACAAAAGUAUAAAAUGUUUAUAGUGAGUCGGAGACAAAAUAUUUAAAAAGCUAUAAGUAAAAGAUAUAUUUUUGAUAUAAAAGGAUUUUAUAUGUUUGUCUUAUUAGCAGGACAAGACCAAAAGGCCUAAGUACAUCAAGAAGGUGUGCGAAAGUGAUUUAUAAAGGAAAUAUAUGUUUACUUGUUGGUUUCAAGUUUAUUAUAAAAGGUUUACAGGAAUAGAGGUUUCAUUCCUUCUGAUUUUAAUUCUACAAGAGAUCUCUGUUAAUUGACUUACAAAAAGUUUUAAAUAGUCUUAUUUAUAAUUAUAAACCUAAAAUUAUAAAGAGAUUAUAAUUCCAUUGGGCUAAAUAUAUUUGAGUGCACUCUAGUUUUAGAAAUUGUCUUAUAUCUUUGUUUUUGUCCAAUCCUACAGCUGUUUUAUUUAUAGAUAAAGGUUAUUAAGUUCAAGGCAUGCUCCCCUUGGUGAACAAAGGAGCAGCCGCAUGGAAAUAUUUUCCAGUCUUUGUUCACUAGGGGGACCUCAACAGUUUUCAUCUUACAAGAGACUGACCCAAUAGUUUUCAUAGCCUUAUAAAAGACUUACAGGAAUAAAUAUUAUUUAAAUAUAUUAUUAUACUGUUUAUAUCAAUUGUCAUCAAAGGGAUAAAUUCUAAAUAUGUUAUUAUGGUGUGCUUACACUGGUCAUUUUCAAAGGACUAAAUAUCCUGUAAAAAACAACAAUAACAAGGUUUUAUUUUUUCUAGUGUACUAAAUGUAUUUAUACUUUCUUACUGUACAGGUUUUCUAAUAUUUGUUUAUGAUAAUAACCUCUUUUUGAUUCAGGAAUUCAACUACUAAAAAACAACCAUGACUGAUGACAGUAACAGUUCUCUAUAUUUUAAAUUCCAAAAUGUUUGUUAUUCAGGUAAAACUAUAAUAGUUAAGUUCAUUAUUCUUGUUACAAUGCUAAUGCUAUUGACCUUCUCUUCUGGGUGUUCAACAACUAAAGUUUGGAGACCAAAACUAAAAAGUAACUGGGCUAUGAGGACAGCCAAUAUUUUGGCCCUGGCCCCUCAAGGUCAACAAAGUUCCAGGACAUGAGGGAACCUUCUCUACAGGGUCCUACAUCUUUGGUAAGUCACUCAACCUCCUAAACUGGGAGAUUGCUGGACACCAGAGGACAAUGUACUGUGUGCCAAAGGAGGGUCACCAAGAAAAAACUCUCCACUGCUUUCACUGAAAGCAACUUGGUCAAACAAGGCCAUAACCCAUCCAGAUGGCUGACACUGACAGAGAAGCAGAGAGGCACUAUGCAUGGUUCCAAAGUAAUGGCCUGGGGAGACUUAACUGACCUUAAUAGAUAACAAGAGGUUCAUAUUGAUUGACACAGGUCUCACUUUAACUUGGUCUUAAACACCCAGCAGAAAAAAUAACCAAAAGAGGCACAAAACAAUGACAUAAUAAUAAAGCUAGACUUCAGAAAAAUUAAGACAUAGCCCACCCAUUAAAAUCUUUUGGUUCACUCAUGACACAGCCAUUUCAAAAAGACAAAACUUUGGGUACUAAAGAGAAGCAAAAAUCAUUAAUUAGCUACAAGUGUGUACAGAUUCUUUUCAAAAAAAAUUAAAAGAAGUUAUUUACAGGUAACCAAUCCUAGAAACCACUGGUCUCCAGAUCUCUCCUUUUAGAUAAGUGUUUUUCUGAUUCUGUGAUAACUAAUUAACUAUCGUGUAAUGAUAAAAAAAAAAACAACAAAAAACCAUAAAGUAAGAGUAUUGAGAAAAAAUCACGUGCUUGUCAGCCACAGUCAGGAUAAGUUCUAUACCAAGCAGCUACAAGAUUUAUUCCUUUUAAAAUAAUGUACAUCCUUGUUCUCUGUUUAUGAUGCCUCUUCUCAUUGUGCUCAUACUUUCUGGAUACCUACCCGUGUCUAAAAAGAUCAAGCCUUUUAUGCUACACUUGAUCACCUUAAGUCGUCCAGUGUCCUUGUUGAGGUUAUCAGUUCUCUUUAUUUUUAAAUAUAUCUAGGAGGCCUCCAAAAACUGAGAGAUACAGGAAUAAAACUGUCCUGGCCUUGAAUUUAAAGAAGAAGUCAGGUUCAUAGUAAC
This is a long non-coding RNA of Heterocephalus glaber (naked mole-rat), 4127 nucleotides long. The record is from Ensembl. Lineage: Eukaryota; Metazoa; Chordata; Mammalia; Rodentia; Bathyergidae.